CUUCCAAACACUGCCUACUUUCUCGAUCUUUCGCCUCUCUCUCUCUCUCUCUCUCUCUUCUCUUUCCCCUAUUCUCCCCUCGCUUUUUCUCUCUCCUGCAAUUUGGUUUGAUCACCUUCUGCUCUCCUCGUCAAAUUAGGGAUUUGGAUCUGAAUUUCUACAGCGAUUGUGGGAGAGUAAGUGAGUGGUCUUUCAGUUUCAGGGUUAAUUUCAUCCUCAAUUCCUAUGAAUUGAAACCUGAAUCUUCAGAUACCGAUUUUAGACUCUACCUUUGCUUUAGGGUUUUACUUCUGAGGCGACUGAGAUGGUGGGUUCUCAGAAUCCGAAUGGGUCAUCAUCGCCGGCCAAAAAGUACGGCAUCACGAAGCCAAUCUCUGUCGCGGGUCCCACCGACGCGGAUCUUCAUCGGAAUGAUAAUUUGGAAAAGUUCUUGAUUAAUUCGGGGCUUUACGAGAGCCAAGAAGAAGCUGCUAGGAGAGAGGAGGUUCUUGGUCGCAUUGCAGAGAUUGUAAAGGAUUGGGUGAAGGUGUUAACUCGCCAAAGAGGCUAUACAGAUCAGAUGGUGGAGGAUGCAAAUGCUGUCAUAUUCACCUUUGGGUCCUACAGAUUAGGAGUGCAUGGACCGGGGGCUGACAUUGACACCCUGUGUGUUGGGCCAUCCUAUGUGAAUCGAGAGGAAGAUUUUUUUAUUGUCUUGCACAAUAUACUGGCUGAAAUGGAAGAUGUUGCAGAACUUCAACCAGUUCCUGAUGCUCAUGUCCCAGUAAUGAAAUUCAAGUUCCAAGGAAUUUCAAUUGAUCUUCUGUAUGCAAGUAUAUCUCUUUUGGUUGUUCCAAAAGAUCUGGACAUCUCUCAUGGAUCUGUGCUAUUUGAAGUGGACGAGCAGACUGUUCGAAGUCUUAAUGGGUGUAGGGUAGCAGAUCAAAUUCUUAAACUUGUCCCAAAUAUAGAGCAUUUUCGUACAACUCUCAGAUGUUUAAAAUUUUGGGCUAAAAGGCGCGGUGUUUAUUCAAAUGUUACUGGAUUCCUUGGUGGUGUCAACUGGGCUCUUUUAGUUGCUCGAGUAUGUCAGCUUUAUCCCAAUGCAAUUCCUAGUAUGCUGGUUUCUAGAUUUUUCAGGGUUUAUACACAAUGGAGAUGGCCAAAUCCUGUGAUGCUCUGUUCUAUUGAGGAGAAUGAACUUGGGUUCCCUGUUUGGGAUCCUCGCAAACACCCUCGAGAUCGAUUUCAUCUUAUGCCCAUAAUAACUCCUGCUUACCCAUGCAUGAAUUCUAGUUACAAUGUCUCAGCAAGUACUUUACGAGUUAUGACAGAGCAGUUCCAAUGUGGUAACAGGAUUUGUGAGGAUAUUGAGUUGAACAAGGUCCAGUGGAGUGCUCUGUUUGAGCCAUAUCUAUUUUUCGAGGCGUACAAAAACUACUUGCAGGUGGAUAUUCUAGCGGUCGAUGCUGAUGAUUUGCUAGCAUGGAGGGGAUGGGUAGAGUCUCGGCUUAGGCAGCUUACACUUAAGAUAGAGCGGGAUACAAAUGGGAUGUUGCAAUGCCAUCCUCACCCACAUGAGUAUGUAGACACAUCAAGGUCAUCUGCACAUUGUUCUUUCUUCAUGGGCUUGCAGAGGAAAGAGGGAGUGAAGGGUCAAGAAGGUCAGCAGUUUGACAUCCGUGAAACAGUUGACGAAUUUAGGCAAGACGUAAACAUGUAUAUGUUUUGGAAACCUGGGAUGGAUAUGUUUGUUUCACAUGUCCGUAGAAAGCAACUACCUGCCUUUGUCUUUCCUGAUGGGUACAAACGGUCUCGAUUGUCCAGGCACAUAAGCCCACAGGCCAAAAAGUUCAGUGAAGAUGCUGCAGGGUGCCAGCCUUCCUCUGCUGAGAAGAAGAGGAAAAAUGAUUCUGAUGCAGUGGAUGCAAAGCCAGUCAAACUGCAUAAGCAAGACUCUGCUAGCCCACAACGACCAUCUUCUGUAUCUCCCAAUAGUAAUUUGUCUGGUGGUGUUAGAUUAGAGUUCUUAGGAACUGAUGAUUCGAACUGUGGUUCUGAGUUUAGGUCUUCUGGUGGACUGUUGGAGAGUGACAAAAAUAUAUCAGGGAAGAAUGUGGAGAUUUUUCAAAAUAUCACGGCAGAACUCAUUUCUAGUCAUUUAAUUCCACAGGCCAAAGAAACCAGUGAAGAUGCUGCAGUGUCCCAGCCAUCCUCUGCUGAAAAGAAGAGGAAUAAUGAUUCUGAAGCAGUGAAUGUGAAGCCAAUCAAACAACAGAAGCGAAUCUCAGUUGGUCCCCAACAACCAGCUUCUGUCUCUCCUAAAAGUAAUAGGUCUGGUAGUGUUAGAUUAGAGUGCCUGGAAACUGGUGAUGCCAAUUGCAGUUCUGAGUUUAGGUGUUCUGGUGGACUGUUGGAGAGUGAAAAGCAUAUGCUUAGCAAUAAUGCAGAGAUGGCUCAAUAUGUUGCGAAAGAACUUGUCUCAAGAAACAUAAGCCAACAGGCUAAAGAAUCUAGAGAAGAUGCCGCAGGGUGCCUGCCUUCUUCCACUUCUACAAGGAAGUGUCAAAAUGAUUCUGAAGCAAUGGAUGUGAAGCCAGUCAAAGAACAGAAGCAAGCCUCUACAAGUCCACAGCAAUCAGCUUCUGGAUCUCCAGAAAGUAAUAGGUCUGGUGGUGUUAGAUCAGAGUGCCUAAGGAAUGGUGGUGCAAAGUGCACAUCUGAGGAUACAAUUGGGAGUCAUGUAGAGAUGGCUCAGAAAUCUAUGCAAGAAUCCGUUUUUCUGAAAGAGCAGACAUUUAUAUGUGUAUCUGAUUUGCCUGGCCCUGGGCAUGAGUUCAGGCCAGUUGAUUUGACUGAGUCUGGUGUCUCAUGUGCAGUACCUUGUUCAGAAUUCAAGGAAAUACACCAGGUUGGACAUAACGGAGAGAGAGUUGGGAAUUUGACAUUAGUUGACAUGGCAAAUGUGGAAAGUACAACUGCUGGGAGGCUGCUGAAUUGGGCAGAAGGUGCUGUUGAUGUCGACUCGGAGCUAGUCAAACCAUAUAAUCAAACAUCAAUCAUAGAGAAUGCCGAACAGGCAUUUAAUCCAACUUCUAAUGUUAAGAUCCUCAAUUGCGAGGGUGAUGUAUAUGCUGCUGCAGGUUCAGAUAGCUUCACUACCGGGAGUGGGUUGCUUCAGACUGGGUUAUAAGAAGAAUUAGAGCCAAAUACUGCACCUGGAAGUAUGGUAUACUGUAAAGAGGGAGUGAGGUCAGACUUUAUUGAAAACAGUGACAAGGUUGUCUGAGAUCUGUAGUUUGACAUCUGACAAGAAAAUCAUGGAAUGGAGUCCCUCAUGUGAAGAAAGCCAGCAAAACCUCGGUAAGUGUCUGGUUAAUUGCUGGCUUUUGUGGCUCUCAUUAUGGUUUUCCAGGUGCAUACGCCCGUGGCAUUGGGGGUGGAACAGGAUUAAAGUUGGGCCAUGCGCAGACCUGAUGCACAUCUGAGUGAUUUAGCAUAUGGUUUUAUGGAUUUAAAGAGAGUUGAAUUUGCGGAGCUGUUGAAGUGCAAGCACCGAAGAAGCUUUGGGCGAAUGCUGGUGCAAAGCCUUCUUUGCUUUGUUUGAUUAGUAUUUUCAUAUUUUGUGCGCAUCUAAUGCUCGGUCAUUGUGCAAUUUAAUGAUGUUUCAAUUAAACUUGCGGCAAAUUAGCUGUUGGAAGCACAAUGCUUCCUUGUACUGUACGAGGAUUUCCCUUCUCGCCAAUUGUGACGAUUUUUCAACACUUUUUUAACUGCUUAUCUUUUGUUCUC
This is an RNA transcript of Humulus lupulus (European hop), 3771 nucleotides long. It is a transcript of the gene named nuclear poly(A) polymerase 4-like, with no coding region annotated. Lineage: Eukaryota; Viridiplantae; Streptophyta; Magnoliopsida; Rosales; Cannabaceae. The record is from RefSeq and is a predicted model, not a curated record. The transcript has 13 exons.